CUGGGAUAACCACGAGAAAUCGGGGCUAAUACCGGAUGGGUCAUCGGACCGCAUGGUCCGAGGAUGAAAGGCGCUUCGGCGUCGCCUGGGGAUGGCUUUGCGGUGCAUUAGCUAGUUGGUGGGGUAAUGGCCCACCAAGGCGACGAUGCAUAGCCGACCUGAGAGGGUGAUCGGCCACACUGGGACUGAGACACGGCCCAGACUCCUACGGGAGGCAGCAGUAGGGAAUCUUCCACAAUGGACGAAAGUCUGAUGGAGCAACGCCGCGUGAACGAUGAAGGCCUUCGGGUCGUAAAGUUCUGUUGUAAGGGAAGAACAAGUGCCGCAGGCAAUGGCGGCACCUUGACGGUACCUUGCGAGAAAGCCACGGCUAACUACGUGCCAGCAGCCGCGGUAAUACGUAGGUGGCAAGCGUUGUCCGGAAUUAUUGGGCGUAAAGCGCGCGCAGGCGGCCUCUUAAGUCUGAUGUGAAAGCCCCCGGCUCAACCGGGGAGGGCCAUUGGAAACUGGGAGGCUUGAGUAUAGGAGAGAAGAGUGGAAUUCCACGUGUAGCGGUGAAAUGCGUAGAGAUGUGGAGGAAC
RNAcentral lists this ribosomal RNA (581 nucleotides) under Exiguobacterium mexicanum. RNAcentral describes it as "bacterial SSU rRNA". It matches the Rfam family "Bacterial small subunit ribosomal RNA", at positions 138 to 707 of the family's 1533-position model. Lineage: Bacteria; Bacillati; Bacillota; Bacilli; Caryophanales. The record is from RNAcentral.